RNAcentral lists this ribosomal RNA (253 nucleotides) under uncultured bacterium. RNAcentral describes it as "partial 16S ribosomal RNA". It matches the Rfam family "Bacterial small subunit ribosomal RNA", at positions 524 to 776 of the family's 1533-position model. The record is from RNAcentral.
UACGGAGGAUCCGAGCGUUAUCCGGAUUUAUUGGGUUUAAAGGGAGCGUAGGUGGAUUGUUAAGUCAGUUGUGAAAGUUUGCGGCUCAACCGUAAAAUUGCAGUUGAAACUGCCAGGCUAGAGUGUCGGAGAGGUAAGUGGAAUUCCUAGUGUAGCGGUGAAAUGCGUAGAUAUUAGGAGGAACACCAGUGGCGAAGGCGGCUUACUGGACGAUGACUGACGCUGAGGCUCGAAAGCGUGGGGAGCAAACAGG